Molecule: non-coding RNA, 251 nt
Organism: Chelonoidis abingdonii (Abingdon island giant tortoise)
Lineage: Eukaryota; Metazoa; Chordata; Testudines; Testudinidae
Source: RefSeq, a predicted model, not a curated record
GUUUUCUCGUACUGAUUCACUUCUGUCUGCCUUCUGACUGUCCACCUGAGAAGUGUUGGUUGGCUAUAAAUAGGUAGUAGGUUGGGAAAAUCACAGAUGAAAUAGAAUAAUAUAUUCCAUUAUUGUUCUUGUAUAGUAACACCACAAUUCUUCAGCUCUCGUGUCACUGUGUAGGUCAAAAACAGCUCCUUAGGAGGACAUAUUCCCUCCUGAGUGCUAAACCAAUGCUUUAAAAGCCUUGCUCCUCCAAA